UACGUAGGGUGCGAGCGUUAAUCGGAAUUACUGGGCGUAAAGCGUGCGCAGGCGGUGAUGUAAGACAGGUGUGAAAUCCCCGGGCUUAACCUGGGAACUGCAUUUGUGACUGCAUCGCUGGAGUGCGGCAGAGGGGGAUGGAAUUCCGCGUGUAGCAGUGAAAUGCGUAGAUAUGCGGAGGAACACCGAUGGCGAAGGCAGUGUCCUGGGAAGCAUCUGACGCUCAGGUGCGAAAGCUAGGGGAGCGAACAGG
Molecule: ribosomal RNA, 253 nt
Filed under: uncultured bacterium
Lineage: Bacteria
Description: partial 16S ribosomal RNA
Rfam family: Bacterial small subunit ribosomal RNA
Source: RNAcentral